GAAUUUAAUAUAAUAUUAUUAUUGAUGUAGGUUAGUUUAAUAAUUUUGUAUUUAAUUGGGAUAAUUUUUAAAUUUUAUUAAUUUUAAUAUGAGAUAAUAUAUAUUAGUGAUUAAAAGAGUGAUUAAUAAAUCUAAGUAGAAUUAAUUACCUUAGGGAUAACAGCGUAAUAUUUUUUGUGAGAUCUUAUCUAAAAAAAUGAUUGC
Molecule: ribosomal RNA, 204 nt
Filed under: Carebara urichi
Lineage: Eukaryota; Metazoa; Arthropoda; Insecta; Hymenoptera; Formicidae
Description: partial large subunit ribosomal RNA
Source: RNAcentral